AUGCUUACCUGGCAGAGGAGAUACCAUGAUCACAGAGGUGGUUUUUCCAGGGCAAGGUUUAUCCAUAGUAUUCCUGAUGUGCUGACCCCUGCCAUUUCCCCAAAUGUGGAAAACUCUGCUGCAUGAUUUGUGGACUGCAUUCGAGCUCUCCCCU
Molecule: small nuclear RNA, 154 nt
Filed under: Peromyscus maniculatus bairdii (prairie deer mouse)
Lineage: Eukaryota; Metazoa; Chordata; Mammalia; Rodentia; Cricetidae
Description: U1 spliceosomal RNA (ENSPEMG00000002587.2)
Rfam family: U1 spliceosomal RNA
About the family: U1 is a small nuclear RNA (snRNA) component of the spliceosome (involved in pre-mRNA splicing). Its 5' end forms complementary base pairs with the 5' splice junction, thus defining the 5' donor site of an intron. There are significant differences in sequence and secondary structure between metazoan and yeast U1 snRNAs, the latter being much longer (568 nucleotides as compared to 164 nucleotides in human).
Source: Rfam by way of RNAcentral